GACGAACGCUGGCGGCGUGCCUAAUACAUGCAAGUAGAACGCAGUUGCGAACGGGUGAGUAACGCGUAGGUAACUGCCUCAUAGCGGGGGAUAACUAUUGGAAACGAUAGCUAAUACCGCAUCCUGUGAGAUGGACCUGCGUUGUAUUAGCUAGUUGGUGAGGUAAAGGCUCACCAAGGCGCCGAUACAUAGCCGGGCUGGGAGGGUGAUCGGCAAAAAUGGGACGGGGACAAGGCCCAGACUCCUACGGGAGGCAGCAGGAGGGGAUCAUCGGAAAUGGGCGGAAGGCUGAACGAGCAACGCCGCGGGAGGGAAGGAGGGUUUCGGAUCGUAAAGCUAUGUUGUUAGAGAAGCGGUAACUAAACAGAAAGGGACGGCUAACUACGUGCCAGCAGCCGCGGUAAUAC
RNAcentral lists this ribosomal RNA (407 nucleotides) under uncultured bacterium. RNAcentral describes it as "partial 16S ribosomal RNA". It matches the Rfam family "Bacterial small subunit ribosomal RNA", at positions 28 to 526 of the family's 1533-position model. The record is from RNAcentral.